CAGUGCAGCUGAAAUCCUAGAAGACCUCACAACUGUGUUAAAUUUUCACAGCUGACCACUUAAAGGCAGUUCUCUUCAAAUAAGAGAGUCUCACUCUCUCACCCAGGCUGGAGUGCGGUGGCACGAUCUCAGCUCACUGCAACAUCUGCCUCCCAGGUUCAAGAGAUUCUCCUGCCUCACUUACAUAGAUGAGUUUGAUAACAGUCAAGCUGAAACUAAAAAGGAACCAGUAACAACGGGGCUUUUGAAGGAUCCAGAUCUUAAAACACGAAUUGCACAGAGCCCUUGUUACCUCUCAGAUGCUCAGAAACACGAGGAACACCCUCUCUCUGCCCACAGAGUUUAAUGAAGAUGAAGCAAUGUUUUCCUAUUUUGCAUGAUGAACAAAACAGCAGGUUUGUCAGAUGAACUGGAAACUGUACUUUCCUUGAUACCAAGCCAGAGGUUUCUUGACUUAAUCGACUAAUAUUUCAUAGUCAGUACUUCUCACUGCAGAAAUCAUAGCUGUGGUCGGGAUCAGAGAACAGAAUCCAAGAGCAAAUGAAUCUUUUAUUACAAAUCAAAAUAGCAAAUUGACUGAGAAACAUAGUAUCUUUGUACUCUUGAGUUCUAUGUACCUUCUCACAGAAACAGUGAAACAUGUGAGUUGUAUGUUAUGCAUUUAUUUAAAGGAAAAACUUCUCAAAACAAAACAUGACAUUCCUA
Molecule: long non-coding RNA, 705 nt
Filed under: Homo sapiens (human)
Lineage: Eukaryota; Metazoa; Chordata; Mammalia; Primates; Hominidae
Description: HSALNT0313781
Source: RNAcentral